Molecule: unclassified non-coding RNA, 130 nt
Filed under: Oryza sativa (Asian cultivated rice)
Lineage: Eukaryota; Viridiplantae; Streptophyta; Magnoliopsida; Poales; Poaceae
Description: partial microRNA MIR472a-2-as precursor
Source: RNAcentral
CUUCCUCCGUUUCACAAUGUAAGUCAUUCUAGCAUUUCCCACAUUCAUAUUGAUAUCUAGAUUCAUUAGCAUUAAUAUGAAUGUGGGAAAUGCUAGAAUGACUUAUAUUGUGAAACGGAGGGAGUACCUA